AAUACUGGCCUGAUGAGUAUGCUCUAAAAGAAUAUGGCGUCAUGCGUGUUAGGAACGUCAAAGAAAGCGCCGCUCAUGACUAUACGCUAAGAGAACUUAAACUUUCAAAGGUUGGACAAGGAAUACGGAGAGAACGGUCUGGCAAUACCACUUUCGGACCUGGCCGGACCACGGCGUGCCCAGCGACCCUGGGGGCGUGCUGGACUUCCUGGAGGAGGUGCACCAUAAGCAGGAGAGCAUCAUGGAUGCAGGGCCGGUCGUGGUGCACUGCA
RNAcentral lists this long non-coding RNA (272 nucleotides) under Homo sapiens (human). Its description in RNAcentral is "long non-coding RNA NONHSAT030807.2". The record is from RNAcentral. Lineage: Eukaryota; Metazoa; Chordata; Mammalia; Primates; Hominidae.